Molecule: ribosomal RNA, 1001 nt
Filed under: uncultured bacterium
Lineage: Bacteria
Description: bacterial SSU rRNA
Rfam family: Bacterial small subunit ribosomal RNA
Source: RNAcentral
UGGGGGAUAUUGCGCAAUGGGGGCAACCCUGACGCAGCAACGCCGCGUGAAGGAUGAAGGUUUUCGGAUUGUAAACUUCUUUUAUUAAGGACGAAAAUUGACGGUACUUAAUGAAUAAGCUCCGGCUAACUACGUGCCAGCAGCCGCGGUAAUACGUAGGGAGCAAGCGUUGUCCGGAUUUACUGGGUGUAAAGGGUGCGUAGGCGGCUUUGCAAGUCAGAUGUGAAAUCUAUGGGCUCAACCCAUAAACUGCAUUUGAAACUGUAGAGCUUGAGUGAAGUAGAGGCAGGCGGAAUUCCCCGUGUAGCGGUGAAAUGCGUAGAGAUGGGGAGGAACACCAGUGGCGAAGGCGGCCUGCUGGGCUUUAACUGACGCUGAGGCACGAAAGCGUGGGUAGCAAACAGGAUUAGAUACCCUGGUAGUCCACGCUGUAAACGAUGAUUACUAGGUGUGGGGGGUCUGACCCCUUCCGUGCCGGAGUUAACACAAUAAGUAAUCCACCUGGGGAGUACGGCCGCAAGGUUGAAACUCAAAGGAAUUGACGGGGGCCCGCACAAGCAGUGGAGUAUGUGGUUUAAUUCGAAGCAACGCGAAGAACCUUACCAGGUCUUGACAUCCAACUAACGAAGUAGAGAUACAUUAGGUGCCUUUCGGGGAAAGUUGAGACAGGUGGUGCAUGGUUGUCGUCAGCUCGUGUCGUGAGAUGUUGGGUUAAGUCCCGCAACGAGCGCAACCCUUGUUAUUAGUUGCUACGCAAGAGGACUCUGGCCAGACUGCCGUUGACAAAACGGAGGAAGGUGGGGAUGACGUCAAAUCAUCAUGCCCUUUAUGACUUGGGCUACACACGUACUACAAUGGCGUUAAACAAAGAGAAGCAAGACCGCGAGGUGGAGCAAAACUCAGAAACAACGUCCCAGUUCGGACUGCAGGCUGCAACUCGCCUGCACGAAGUCGGAAUUGCUAGUAAUCGUGGAUCAGCAUGCCACGGUGAAUACGUUCCC